This 369-nucleotide long non-coding RNA is filed under the name Capra hircus (goat). RNAcentral describes it as "lncRNA (ENSCHIG00000002224.1)". The record is from RNAcentral. Lineage: Eukaryota; Metazoa; Chordata; Mammalia; Artiodactyla; Bovidae.
AGAUGGGACAAGGUAAUUUGAGAACACACAUGAGAACCUGGCACCUGGCAGGACUAAUAAAGAAGAGUUGCUUCCCUCCCUCACUUAAUGCUCUGAGUAAUACAACGGAGAACAGUGGCAGUUCAUUCCAGCCCAGGAGAGAAACAUUUUCUUCCAAUCCUGGUACACGUGUAACAGUGUUUUUGCUUGUUUGUCUGUCUGUUUGGAUUUAUUUUGUGAGCUUGAAUGUACAUUUUCUACUUGAUUAACUGUGCUUUGAUUCUUCUGCAGCUGGAAUGGGGAUUGUGCUGCCAUAAAACAUGACAAAAUCAGAAAAGAAGAAAACAAUGAACAAGCAAACAAACUCCGCUCGGGAUCUGAAAGGAGGCA